RNAcentral lists this ribosomal RNA (253 nucleotides) under uncultured bacterium. RNAcentral describes it as "partial 16S ribosomal RNA". It matches the Rfam family "Bacterial small subunit ribosomal RNA", at positions 524 to 776 of the family's 1533-position model. The record is from RNAcentral.
UACAGAGGGUGCAAGCGUUAAUCGGAAUUACUGGGCGUAAAGCGUGCGUAGACGGUUAUGUAAGUCAGGUGUGAAAGCCCCGGGCUCAACCUGGGAAUGGCAUUUGAGACUGCAUAGCUAGGGUGCGGAAGAGGGAAGCGGAAUUUCCGGUGUAGCGGUGAAAUGCGUAGAUAUCGUAAGGAAGACCAGUGGCGAAGGCGGGUCUCUGGACAGUUCCUGACGCUGAGGCACGAAGGCCAGGGGAGCAAACGGG